UACGUAGGGACCGAGCGUUGUCCGGAAUCAUUGGGCGUAAAGAGCGUGUAGGCGGCCACUUAAGUCCUGCGUGAAAUCCUGCGGCUCAACCGCAGGCGGUCGUGGGAAACUGGGUGGCUAGAGUGCGGGAGAGGAGAGUGGAAUUCCUGGUGUAGCGGUGAAAUGCGCAGAUAUCAGGAGGAACACCAAUGGCGAAGGCAGCUCGCUGGAACGGAACUGACGCUGAGGCGCGAAAGCGUGGGGAGCGAACAGG
This 253-nucleotide ribosomal RNA is filed under the name uncultured bacterium. RNAcentral describes it as "partial 16S ribosomal RNA". It matches the Rfam family "Bacterial small subunit ribosomal RNA", at positions 524 to 776 of the family's 1533-position model. The record is from RNAcentral.